Molecule: ribosomal RNA, 253 nt
Filed under: uncultured bacterium
Lineage: Bacteria
Description: partial 16S ribosomal RNA
Rfam family: Bacterial small subunit ribosomal RNA
Source: RNAcentral
UACAGAGGGGGCAAGCGUUGUUCGGAAUUACUGGGCGUAAAGGGUUCGUAGGUGGCCAACUAAGUCAGACGUGAAAUCCCUCGGCUCAACCGGGGAACUGCGUCUGAUACUGGUUGGCUUGAGUGCAGGAGAGGAACGCGGAAUUCCAGGUGUAGCGGUGAAAUGCGUAGAUAUCUGGAGGAACACCGGUGGCGAAGGCGGCGUUCUGGACUGCAACUGACACUGAGGAACGAAAGCCAGGGGAGCAAACGGG